AUGCAGUCGACGAACCUUCGGGUUAGUGGCGGACGGGUGAGUAACGCGUGAGAAUCUGCCCUCAGGAGGGGGAUAACAGUUGGAAACGACUGCUAAUACCCCAUAUGCCGAGAGGUGAAACGAAUUUUGCCUGGGGAUGAGCUCGCGUCUGAUUAGCUUGUUGGUGGGGUAAAAGCCUACCAAGGCUUCGAUCAGUAGCUGGUCUGAGAGGACGAUCAGCCACACUGGGACUGAGAUACGGCCCAGACUCCUACGGGAGGCAGCAGUGGGGAAUUUUCCGCAAUGGGCGCAAGCCUGACGGAGCAACGCCGCGUGAGGGAUGAAGGCCUUUGGGCUGUAAACCUCUUUUCUCAAGGAAGAAGAUCUGACGGUACUUGAGGAAUAAGCCACGGCUAAUUCCGUGCCAGCAGCCGCGGUAAUACGGGAGUGGCAAGCGUUAUCCGGAAUUAUUGGGCGUAAAGCGUCCGCAGGCGGCCGUUUAAGUCUGUUGUUAAAUCGUGGAGCUCAACUCCAUCACGGCAAUGGAAACUGUUCGGCUUGAGUAUGGUAGGGGCAGAGGGAAUUUCCGGUGUAGCGGUGAAAUGCGUAGAUAUCGGGAAGAACACCAGUGGCAAAAGCGCUCUGCUGGGCCAUUACUGACGCUCAUGGACGAAAGCCAGGGGAGCGAAAGGGAUUAGAUACCCCUGUAGUCCUGGCCGUAAACGAUGAACACUAGAUGUUGGGGGAAUCGACCCCUCCGGUGUCGUAGCUAACGCGUUAAGUGUUCCGCCUGGGGAGUACGCACGCAAGUGUGAAACUCAA
Molecule: ribosomal RNA, 801 nt
Filed under: uncultured bacterium
Lineage: Bacteria
Description: bacterial SSU rRNA
Rfam family: Bacterial small subunit ribosomal RNA
Source: RNAcentral